Molecule: long non-coding RNA, 314 nt
Filed under: Calidris pugnax (ruff)
Lineage: Eukaryota; Metazoa; Chordata; Aves; Charadriiformes; Scolopacidae
Description: lncRNA (ENSCPUG00000012020.1)
Source: RNAcentral
AGACUUUAUUUGCUUCACUGAGACUCCACCUUCAAUUAAUUUGGCUAUCCUGGAGAGAAAUAAAAUGGACAAGUUGAUGCCAUCUGAUUGAAGUUUAAGACAGAAACCUCUCAAACAGUUGCUGAUUGUAACCAAAGAGAAUAAAGAAAUCCAUCAGAUUAUGUCCAGCAAAUUUAAUGUCUGCUGGACCCUCUGCAUCUUGCUGUCCUCUGAUAAGUUCAAGAUUCCUGUUUGUAUCUAAGUAUCUUAUCGAGACAGAAAAAAGGACCUAUCUGACUACUUGCAGGAUCACAUGGACCAUACUCCUGGGAUAA